RNAcentral lists this ribosomal RNA (161 nucleotides) under Cuscuta babylonica. RNAcentral describes it as "5.8S ribosomal RNA". It matches the Rfam family "5.8S ribosomal RNA". Rfam says of the family: 5.8S ribosomal RNA (5.8S rRNA) is a component of the large subunit of the eukaryotic ribosome. It is transcribed by RNA polymerase I as part of the 45S precursor that also contains 18S and 28S rRNA. Lineage: Eukaryota; Viridiplantae; Streptophyta; Magnoliopsida; Solanales; Convolvulaceae. The record is from RNAcentral.
AUGACUCUCGGCAACGGAUAUCUCGGCUUUCGCAUCGAUGAAGAAUGUAGCGAAAUGCGAUACUUGGUGUGAAUUGCAGAAUCCCGUGAACCAUCGAGUCUUUGAACGCAAGUUGCACCCAAAGCCAACAGGCUUAGGGCACGUCUGUCUGGGUGUCAUGC